GAUGAACGCUGACAGAAUGCUUAACACAUGCAAGUCAACUUGAAUUUGGGUUUUUAACUUAGGUUUGGGUGGCGGACGGGUGAGUAACGCGUAAAGAACUUGCCUCACAGCUAGGGACAACAUUUGGAAACGAAUGCUAAUACCUAAUAUUAUGAUAAUAGGGCAUCCUAUAAUUAUGAAAGCUAUAAGCGCUGUGAGAGAGCUUUGCGUCCCAUUAGCUAGUUGGAGAGGUAACGGCUCACCAAGGCGAUGAUGGGUAGCCGGCCUGAGAGGGUGAUCGGCCACAAGGGGACUGAGACACGGCCCUUACUCCUACGGGAGGCAGCAGUGGGGAAUAUUGGACAAUGGACCGAGAGUCUGAUCCAGCAAUUCUGUGUGCACGAUGAAGUUUUUCGGAAUGUAAAGUGCUUUCAGUUGGGAAGAAACAAAUGACGGUACCAACAGAAGAAGUGACGGCUAAAUACGUGCCAGCAGCCGCGGUAAUACGUAUGUCACGAGCGUUAUCCGGAUUUAUUGGGCGUAAAGCGCGUCUAGGUGGUUAUGUAAGUCUGAUGUGAAAAUGCAGGGCUCAACUCUGUAUUGCGUUGGAAACUGUAUAACUAGAGUACUGGAGAGGUAAGCGGAACUACAAGUGUAGAGGUGAAAUUCGUAGAUAUUUGUAGGAAUGCCGAUGGGGAAGCCAGCUUACUGGACAGAUACUGACGCUGAAGCGCGAAAGCGUGGGUAGCAAACAGG
RNAcentral lists this ribosomal RNA (735 nucleotides) under uncultured Fusobacterium sp. RNAcentral describes it as "bacterial SSU rRNA". It matches the Rfam family "Bacterial small subunit ribosomal RNA", at positions 28 to 776 of the family's 1533-position model. The record is from RNAcentral. Lineage: Bacteria; Fusobacteriati; Fusobacteriota; Fusobacteriia; Fusobacteriales; Fusobacteriaceae.